RNAcentral lists this long non-coding RNA (320 nucleotides) under Elaeis guineensis (African oil palm). Its description in RNAcentral is "long non-coding RNA (EGUI_LNC057863)". The record is from RNAcentral. Lineage: Eukaryota; Viridiplantae; Streptophyta; Magnoliopsida; Arecales; Arecaceae.
GACUAGAAGGAUCUGUCCAUGAUAAUAGCUGGUUGACAAGUGCCUCAAGGUCAGCAAUUGAAGAAGUGGCUGAUUGUUGAGCAUAUUCAGACUCAGGUGACACAAUAUUCGCAACUACAGCAGUCUUGGAAAAAGAAAAACUCUGAGAAGCAUGUAGACGUGUUAGUUUUAUGCAAUCAACAACUUUGUGACCUCUAAUAUUAUAGAAGGAAUAUUUUUCUAUAAAUCCAGUAUUUUAACCCUCAGGGGCAUUCCCGAUAACUCCAAUAGGUUGAGUGGAAACUUUAGUUGUCUAUCGAUGAGAAAAAGUAGCUGUCACA